This 5547-nucleotide unclassified non-coding RNA is filed under the name Leishmania donovani. RNAcentral's name for it is "gene:LdHU3.23.0300(CDS-product:pentamidine_resist ance_protein_1)". Lineage: Eukaryota; Euglenozoa; Kinetoplastea; Trypanosomatida; Trypanosomatidae. The record is from RNAcentral.
CCUCUCCUAUCCUGAGCACCAACGCUGGCCCUUCCCAUCCAGCGGGCCUCCUUUCCUGUCUGCUCCCUUCGCACAACUGCACAUCAUCAUCGCCGCUGCCGUCGGCACCCGCUUCCGUUAACGCGAAGGUCUUUCCCCCACUCUCUCGGGUUUCUUCCAGCGCGCUGCGGUAUCGACAUCUGAGCACCGCUUCCCUGACACGGCCGCGUGCACCCGCACCGCUCUAGCGGCUGCCAUGCAGUACGAGGACCCGCGCCAUCACAGCGCAGCGUCAGCGGAGCACAGAGCGCUGCCGAAAGGUGGGCAUCAGAAUGGCGCCGCUGAACAGCUUGCAACCGCUUCAAAGGCCACGGCAGCGAAUCGCCAAGCUGCACUGCACGAGCGCGAUACGCUGAAGCAGCGAAUAACGGAGCUGUGGGGCCCGCCGAAGCACUACGUGGAGUGCGACGAGGACCGCGCCUCCUUCAGCCAUCGCAUGUGGUACUUCUUUGUGUAUCCGAUGGUGCUGCUCGCAUCACGGGAACAGAUCAGUCUUGAGAAUAUGCCCCCGCCAACGCGGGAUGUGCGCGCGCACGACUGCGGGCUGCGGCUGUCGCGUGCUGUGCAGGCGGCGAUGUACGAGCGGAACGCGUGGAACUGCAUGGCUGGGACGGAGGUCGUGAGCACGCUGGACGCUUCGAGUCGCGGUGUUCUGCGGUGGGUCGGGGUGCCGCAGCAGGGCGGGUACACGCGGAUGAUGGCUGGCGUGGAGUGGAGCGUGCCGCCGGCUCUGCGCACCGCUGCGAGGUCCGACGACAGCGGUGCGUCGCCGUUCUUCGACGGCGUUGCGCACGGUGAGCACCUGUUCACGCCUGAGCAGAGUGGCAUGUCGACGCUGGAGGAGGUGACGUGCGUAAGGUUGCUGUCGUCGGAUGGGAGGCCCGUGGACGCUGCUUCUGUGCCAACGCCGCGCCGGCUCUCUCUCAUGCGCGUGCUCCUGGCAUCGCUGCCGGAGUAUUUUUGGUGGCAGGUUCCCUUCAAGCUUGUUGGUGACGUGUGCACCCUCACUAUACCUUUUCUCUUGAAGGCGUUUGUGCACUUCAUCAGCGAGCGCAACCAGAGCUGGGCGUACGGGCUGGUGCUAACAGUGACGUUCUUCCUGACACAACUGAUGCAGAGCACCUGCCUGCACCGCUUCUACUACGUGAGCAUCAAAUGUGGUCUGCAGUACCGCUCCGCCCUUAACGGGUUGAUAUUUGAGAAGGUGUUCACGAUCUCCCACAAGGCUCUGGCAGAUCCACAGAUGAACACAGGCCGCAUCAUCAACAUGAUGAGCACGGACACCGAGCAGGCAAACCAGUUCAUGCAGUAUUGCAUGUACAUCUGGAGCAGCCCCAUGGUGUUUCUUAUCUCCAUCUCAUUUCUCAGUCGCUUGGUGGGUUGGUGCUCCAUCAUGGCUGUCGUGGCGCUGCUCAUGACGCUGCCGAUCAACGGUUGGCUGAUGAAGUGGCAGAUGGCGGCGCGGCGAAAGCUCGUCAAGGCAACGGAUGUGCGCGUGAAAGCGGCGAACGAGUUCUUCUCGGGCGUCCGCGUCGCCAAGUUUAUGACGUGGGAGCCGCGGUUUAUCGCGAACAUCGAGGAGAAGCGCGCCUUGGAGGUGUCGUACUUGAAGCAGGUGCAGACCGCGCGAGUCUGCACGUCGUUUGUGAGCAUGGCCACCCCACAGGUCAUGAUCGCCGCGGUGUUCAUUGUGUAUUACCUGCUUGGGCACGAGCUCACGCCGACGGUGGUGUACCCGACUAUCUCUCUCCUUGGCAUUAUCAGGAUGCCGUUUAAUAUGCUGCCGUUAGUGUUCACCCUGUCGGCGCAGUACCUUGUGGCCAUCACGCGUAUCAACAAAUUCCUCGAGUGCGACAACGCCACCUGCUCCACUGUGCAGGACAUGGAGGAGUACUGGAGGGAGCAGCGCGAACACAGCACUGCGUGCCAGCUUGCCGCUGUGCUGGAGAACGUCGACGUGACUGCCUUUGUGCCCGUGAAACUGCCGUUUGCGCCGAAGGUGAAGACGUCUCUGCUUUCUCGGGCUCUGCGGAUGCUGUGCUGCGGGCGCUGCCGACCUGCGAAGCAGUACCCCGCGCCAACGGCUGUGGCGGAGGAUGUGUGCGCGGCUUUGCCAUUAUCGCCCUCGCCGCCGUCUUCGUCGGCAUCGCCGCGCGGAGGCGCCUUUCGUAAGGGUAAGGUUGAGGCGGAUGACUUCUUCGAGCUGGAGCCGAAGGUGCUGCUGCACGACGUGUCUGUGAGCGUCCCGCGCGGGAAGCUGACGGUUGUGCUUGGCGCGACCGGGAGCGGGAAGUCGACGCUGCUGCAGUCGCUGCUGUCGCAGUUCGAGAUCAGCGAGGGCCGCGUGUGGGCGGAGCGGAGCAUCGCGUACGUGCCGCAGCAGGCGUGGAUCAUGAACGCGACGGUGCGCGGCAACAUCCUGUUCUUCGACGAGGAGGACGCCGCGCGGCUCGCGGAUGCCGUGCGCGUGAGCCAGCUGGAGGCGGACGUUGCGCAGCUUGGCGGGGGGCUGGAGACGGAGAUCGGGGAGAAGGGCGUGAACCUGAGCGGCGGGCAGAAGGCGCGCGUGAGCCUUGCGCGCGCCGUGUACGCGAACCGCGACGUGUACCUGCUGGACGACCCCCUGUCCGCGCUGGACGCGCACGUUGGCGAGCGCGUUGUGGAGGAGUGCUUCCUUGGCGCGCUUGCGGGCAAGACGCGCGUGCUUGCGACGCACCAGGUGCACAUUGUGCCGAGGGCAGACUACGUUGUGGCGCUGGGUGACGGGCGCGUCGAGUUCAGCGGAAGCAGCGCGGACUUUAUGCACACACCGUUUUACGCGUCGCUGGCCGCUGCGGAGGCAGAUAGCCCUCCAAGAAAGGGCGGUGGCGCGAAUGCAGAUGCUGAGGACAUGGACGCUGCCUGCGGUGGCGUAUCGGACCCCGAGGAGGGCUCUGCAAAGCCGGUGAGGAGGGCGGUGUCGGGGGAUGGCGCCGCUGCCCCCGCCGCUGCUGCUCAGCUGAUGACAGUGGAGGAGAAAGCGUCGGGCAUGGUGGCAUGGGGGACGUAUCGAGAGUACCUCAGGUUCUGCGGAGGGCGUUUGUGGAUUGGUGGGGUUCUGGCGAUAUUUGGCGUGACCGAGUUCUUCACCAUCUCUUCGAUGCUGUGCUUGUCGAUGUGGGCGGCGCGGCGCUUCGAUUUGUCGGACGCGUCGUACCUGUUGAUGUAUAUUGGCUGCGUUGUGCUUGGGACGUCGACAGUGCCGCUGCGCUUUUACUUCUCAUUCGAGGCAAUGCGGCGCGGGUGCGCUAGGAUGCACCACGCCGUUCUGCGCAGUGUGUCACGCGGAACGAUGGAGUUCUUUGAUACAACACCGCUGGGCCGCAUACUCAACCGCUUCUCGCGCGACGUGGACGUCGCAGACAACACGCUGCCAAUGUCGAUGCUACAGAUGAUGAGCUGCCUUUGCGGGAUCCUGUCAUCGCUUCUGGUGACGUUCUUCACGCAGCCGCUGGUGAUAUUCGCGCUUGCGCCGUGCGGGUAUCUGUACUACCGGAUCAUGGUGUUCUACAACUCUGCUAACCGCGAGAUCCGCCGAACAAGCAGCGUUGUAAAGUCGCCUCUGUUCUCUCUUCUUGGCGAGGCGCUGACGGGCAGCGCGACAAUCACUGCGUACCGCCGCGCUUCGACGGUGAUGCAGGAGGCGCUGCACCGGCUGGACCUCGUGUACUCGUGCUCAAUCCUAGAGAACAUGGCGAACCGCUGGCUUGGAGUUCGUGUAGAGUUCCUCAGCAACAUCGUGGUGUCGACAAUUGUGCUUAUCGGCAUUGGCCGCACGGUGCUGAUGGAGACCCAUGAGGAAUGGAUAGCGCUUGUCUCGCUGUCACUGACGAUGGCAACGCAGACGACAGCAAUGCUGAACUGGCUUCUGCGGCAGGUUGCGACGGUGGAGGCGGACAUGAACAGCGUGGAGCGGCUGCUGCACUACACCCACAAAGUGCCGCAGGAGGCGAUGCCGGAGCUGGACGCGGAGGUGGACGCGCUGGAGAGGCGGACGGGAAUGGCGGCGGACGUGACGGGGACGGUUGUGAUCGAGCCUGCGAGCCCGACGAGCGCCGCGCCGCACACCGUGCAGGCCGGGUCGCUUGUGUUCGAGGGCGUGCAGAUGCGGUACCGCGAGGGGCUGCCGCUUGUGCUGCGCGGCGUGAGCUUCCGGAUCGCGCCGCGCGAGAAGGUCGGCAUUGUUGGGCGGACGGGGAGCGGGAAGUCGACGCUGCUGCUGACGUUCAUGCGGAUUGUGGAGGUGUGCGGCGGGGAGAUCCGCGUGAACGGGCGCGAGAUCGGUGCGUACGGGCUGCGCGAGCUGCGGCGGCAGUUCUCGAUGAUCCCGCAGGACCCUGUGCUGUUCGACGGGACGGUGCGGCAGAACGUGGACCCGUUCCUGGAGGCGUCGUCCGCGGAGGUGUGGGCUGCGCUGGAGCUUGUAGGGCUGCGCGAGCGCGUUGCGUCGGAGAGCGAGGGGAUCGACAGCCGCGUGCUGGAGGGCGGGUCGAACUACAGCGUUGGGCAGCGGCAGCUGAUGUGCAUGGCGCGCGCGCUGCUGAAGAAGGGGAGCGGGUUCAUCCUGAUGGACGAGGCGACGGCGAACAUCGACCCCGCGCUUGACCGGCAGAUCCAGGCGACAGUGAUGAGCGCGUUCUCGGCGUACACGGUGAUCACGAUCGCGCACCGGCUGCACACUGUCGCGCAGUACGACAAGAUCAUCGUGAUGGACCACGGUGCUGUUGCGGAGAUGGGCAGUCCGCGCGAGCUUGUGAUGAACCGCCAGUCCAUAUUCCACAGCAUGGUGGAGGCACUGGGCCGCAGCGAGGCAGCGCGCGUGAUUCAGGUGGCGAUGGCUCAAUAAGGGUAAUGGUGGUAGUGAGGAGGGGGGGCUACGAACAUUUGCUGAGGUGCUUUCUUCUUGGCGGGGCUGUUCGUAGCUCCAAGAAGGUCCUAUGUAAGAAGGCGGCUCUCUCUAGGCCGCUGGGCGUCUCUCUCUUUCUCGGUAAGCUGAGCUGGCUGCGCUGUGGUCGACAAGUACCGGUUGGAGUGGUAGUGCGUACAUCAGAUGCCCUCCAGGGGCCUUGUAUGCUGUUUGUGUGGACCGUGUACUGUGCGACGGAACGAUGGGUGAUGCGGCGCGGAGUGCGAGGAGGGCUUCGGUGCACGGAAAGGCCUUUGCUACGUCACCUCCAAUGUGGAUGUCUAUAUAUAUAUAUAGCCUUCAUUUGAGGAUGUUGUUUAUGUGCAGCAGCGCUGCUUCUCGCCUCCGUCCUUUCACUGAGAUACUUCCGCCAUCGUCGUCGCACAAACCCUCGCGCACCGCGAAUGUUUGGCCUCCGCGCUCCACCACCGCGCACGUUGCACCGACACAUCGCCUCCCUUGCAUACCUCACUCUCUGUGUGCGCGCGCUGGACUCUCCUCUUUGCUUUUCACGCAAAUCGCUGUUUCAUCGGCGAUGCCGGCCACCGCACCGUGGCACGAAG